Molecule: ribosomal RNA, 119 nt
Filed under: Pteropus alecto (black flying fox)
Lineage: Eukaryota; Metazoa; Chordata; Mammalia; Chiroptera; Pteropodidae
Source: RNAcentral
GUCUAUGGCCAUGCCAUCCUGAACAAGCCCAAUCCCGUCUGAUCUCGGAAGCUAACCAGGGUUGGGCCUGGUUAGUACUUGGAUGGGAGACCACCUAGAAAGACUAGGUGCUUUAGGCG